GAUGAACGCUGGCGGCGUGCUUAACACAUGCAAGUCGAACGGAAAGGCCCAAGCUUGCUUGGGUACUCGAGUGGCGAACGGGUGAGUAACACGUGGGUGAUCUGCCCUGCACUUCGGGAUAAGCCUGGGAAACUGGGUCUAAUACCGGAUAGGACCACUUCUUGGAUGUUGUGGUGGAAAGUUUUUUCGGUGUGGGAUGAGCUCGCGGCCUAUCAGCUUGUUGGUGGGGUAAUGGCCUACCAAGGCGUCGACGGGUAGCCGGCCUGAGAGGGUGUACGGCCACAUUGGGACUGGGAUACGGCCCAGACUCCUACGGGAGGCAGCAGUGGGGAAUAUUGCACAAUGGGCGCAAGCCUGAUGCAGCGACGCCGCGUGGGGGAUGACGGCCUUCGGGGUGUAAACUCCUUUCGCUAGGGACGAAGCGUUUUUGUGACGGUACCUGGAGAAGAAGCACCGGCUAACUACGUG
Molecule: ribosomal RNA, 468 nt
Filed under: uncultured bacterium
Lineage: Bacteria
Description: partial 16S ribosomal RNA
Rfam family: Bacterial small subunit ribosomal RNA
Source: RNAcentral